CGUGUGACUCGCGGGCAAGUCAACUACAAUGACAGUCGGUCAAUAAUAUCAAUCGUCGCUUCCGUCAUAUCAAAAGAAAAGCCUUCUCACUGUAUUUUUCCUCAAGAAAUUUCCACCGUAAAGUGAUUAUAACUUUGACCGGAAAGUCUCAUGCUUUCCUAAUAAGUUUCAGAGGUCUCCGAGAGGUCUCUCCGAGUGUCGUCGAGAUAACUGCUUUUCGUGCCUCGUGUACACAGAGACCAACGUUUACACAGUCUUUAUUCUUCCAGAUGCUGCUGCUGCUGCUGUUAUUGCUAUGGCAGUCUCGGAAAUAGAGCCAACGACGCCACCUUUCUUUGACUCGAUGUUGAAAACGACAUCCUGUUUCAGCGUUAAUCAUAUGAUGGUUCGUCUAACAAUACUGUCGCGUAGUGACACGUAACUUUUCGAAAACGCAGCAACACACGCGACGAUCUCGAUACUCCACUGAUUUCUCAUUUCGCGCUAAUUUAAUGUAAAUACAUGCAGUUCAGCGAUAAGUAUUUGCAUGUGCAACGUGGCACAUAAGAAGCGUCGGAGUUUCUAUUUGUCGCAGUGAUGACGAUCUCUCGGCAAAGGGAAGUAACGUGAUACCUUGCUUACUUACUCGGUCUCUCUGCAUGUAAUUUACUAUACACCAAGAAGAAUCUUAAUUACGUCGCGCGGAAUAAUUAUGCACGGUGACAGGAGUGUCGCCACAUUUAUGCGAUCAAAUAUGUGAAUAAUUGGAUGCCCGAUCGCAUAUUUAAUGAGAGAAUGACAUUGUAAAAAUCGUUGAUCGUCUCGUCAAGUAUAUUUUAAGAUUUUAAUAUCGUCAAGUUUCAUCAGCAAUGUGCAAAUUCGAGUCGAUCUGCGGCACUAUUCUCUGGUUCUCCGAACAGAACAACAAAAAGAAUUUUCGUAGAAAUGCGAAAACUUGAAUUAAAUAAAAUAUUUCGCGAGUCUCUCAAGAGAGAAAAUGACUUUGACAAAAGUUGGCGACUUACAUCCCGAUGAAAAGUGGAAAAACUGUUGAGCUAAAAAAUGAUUCUGCCAGGCUUUCAGUCGAACGAUGUCUUCUCGGUUGUUUAAGCUAUGAAGAAUUAAUAUUUUCGAUGAUGUGAACGUGCCCAGAGAAACAUCCUGUAAAUCAUGCCAUUCCUGCUAUAAAUUGUCAUUGUCAAAACGAAGAGUUUUACAUGAUGUUUUAUUUUGGUAGAGUAACAAAAUAUUCGAGAUCGAAUUAAUUUACUUCGGGCUUGAAACAUUCUGGUGUAAUGAAAAAUCAUUAAUGCACCCCUCCGGGAACGACAGAUAAAUUAAAUCAUAAGCGUAUUUAAUAAAGCUCGACCGUGCUCAGCGUUUCAUAAACACUUAAGAGUUAACUCCUUGUCCUUCGGGAUAAGGCAAAACCAUUCUGCACUCCCGUUUAAUAUAAAAUAUGACGAAAUGUUCCAGUGUCCGGCACUGAACAAUAGUGACACUUUACAGGAAGACAGCUAAAAAUUUUCGUAAUUAUACGGGAUAUGCAAAACAUAUAUUCCAAGUAGAAUUUACAAAAUUUUCAUCCUUUCAUCCUUUUUAGAAUUUGCACGAAUAAAUGAUCGAAGAGAGAAAUAUCGUCGUUACAGAAUUAAAUGAAGAUAUCAGUAUGAUUAAAUCAUAAUUAUAUUGUACAUAAAAUGAGCGGACAAUUUUAUCGAUUCAAGAAAGUUGGAAGAAAGAAAUGUCGUUAACUUUUUCAAAUCUUAACAGCUUUCUCACGAUAAUACAUCUAGGAUUAUUUUAGGCAUGCUGGCAAAAGUUUUCUCGGCCCGAUGAGGAUUAAGUACCGUUAAUAAAGCAAUCGCGUGUUACUGCGUAAUAGCGGAGCAACGGCUCGUAUCAGACGACCUGUGCACGCGGACAUCUUGCGCUUGGCCAAGCUAAAUUCGGCACUCCGUCUGCAUGGUCUAAUAAUAAAUUAAUAACGUACUAUCGUGUUGUCCUACCCUUUUCUUCCUCGGUUUUAUACCUUGGCAAAGUCUGUUACAUGUGAAACGAAAAUUUAUUGCGCUCUUUAUUGUGCGCAGUUACUAAUCAGUUGCGGCAGGUAAUAAUCAUAAUUAUUGCCACGCUUAAGAGCGAACAAGAGAAUCGCGGCGUUCAAAUAUUGUACGGGAAGCAAUAAAGUACAUAGAUAUAUUUAUUCGGUAGAGAGGACGCACACUCUUUUUAUCUCUCUUGAAUUUCUCGGCUGUCGCGAUGAUCGCGAUGAACGCAACGAAUAGAGCUUUAGACAGGAAAAUGGAUUUUAAAACUCUUUGUGACUUAACGUGACGUGUGAGGAUGAUAGACAAACGCCAGAGAUCCAUCUUAUGAAGAAAUUGUUUUCUGCAGACCAGAGGUAUUGACAUCGCGAAGAACUCUUAAACUCUUUUACAGAGAGGUAUUUUACUGAACCGAUUUCCAAUAUGUAGAGCGAAAAUAUUAUACUUACCGGAUGCUGUGUGGAUGAAAUGAAAAUCGAACCUCUGGCAUCGAUGAAUUUCUCAUGGCAGCAUCAUACCUGCUGCCUAUCGCUAUGUAAACAUCAAUAUAAGUCGGGGAGAUGUUGAGGAAGGUUGGCUCUUUUAUAUCUUUUAGUCGUGAACUCAGUUAUUGACAGACUGCAUUUACAUAUAUUCGUGCGAAUCGAAGUUCCCGCGGGGAUAUUCCGCGAGAGCAGAUGCGUUGGUGAGUGGUGUAAAAUUAUUUCAUGAAAGAGAAAAAUCGAACGGAUAUGAUGAUUGUGAAAGUCUGAGGAGAAUUUUCUGUUUCUGGAAUUCUUAAUUCUUGCGAUGUAUUACACUGCACGAAUUAAACAGAAUAUUUGCUAAUGCAGAAAAUGCACGAAUUGUUUGUGAGAGUAUCGGAAUAUUUACAUAGCUCCUUGAUAAAAUGUACUGCGAUAUUUUGUGCGCUAUUAAUGUGAAAAGAAGAAAAAAAUAAAACAGCUGAGUAUUAACAUAUAAAUGAUUUUUUGCAUAUUG
This 3008-nucleotide long non-coding RNA is filed under the name Pogonomyrmex barbatus (red harvester ant). RNAcentral describes it as "uncharacterized LOC105427149". The record is from RNAcentral. Lineage: Eukaryota; Metazoa; Arthropoda; Insecta; Hymenoptera; Formicidae.